UACGUAGGGACCGAGCGUUGUCCGGAUUCAUUGGGCGUAAAGAGCUCGUAGGCGGCUGCUCAAGUCGAAUGUGAAAACUCGAGGCUCAACCUCGAGCCUGCAUUCGAUACUGGGCGGCUAGAGUCUGGUAGGGGGAUCUGGAAUUCCUGGUGUAGCGGUGAAAUGCGCAGAUAUCAGGAAGAACACCAAUGGCGAAAGCAGCUCUCUGGGACGGUACUGACGCUGAGACGCGAAAGCGUGGGGAGCGAACAGG
RNAcentral lists this ribosomal RNA (253 nucleotides) under uncultured bacterium. RNAcentral's name for it is "partial 16S ribosomal RNA". It matches the Rfam family "Bacterial small subunit ribosomal RNA", at positions 524 to 776 of the family's 1533-position model. The record is from RNAcentral.